GUUUGGUUAUUGAACUAAAAACUGCUUGUGUACACAUUGGUAUAUUUUGUUGGACUAACCCCUGCAGGAAAACUUUCAAUAUCGACCUGGGAAGUCCUGAGAUAAACUCACAUUGGAGAUAAAGAGAGAGACACAUGAAGUUUAACAAUUUACACAAGGAAGGCACAAGAGAUGAUCGAUGGAGGGUGCCACAAACACGAUGCACAACCCCUA
This 213-nucleotide long non-coding RNA is filed under the name Sorghum bicolor (sorghum). RNAcentral describes it as "long non-coding RNA (SBIC_LNC017686)". Lineage: Eukaryota; Viridiplantae; Streptophyta; Magnoliopsida; Poales; Poaceae. The record is from RNAcentral.